GUUCGUACUUGCAGAACCCUCCACGACUCGCGAUAAACGGCAGCGCAGCACUGUGUCGAGUGUCGAGUGUCGAGUCCAGCGUAGCAGUCAUAAGCCAGUCGAGUUAUUAAAUGUUGCUGAAAACGCAGUCAACAGAAUAUUAAACCCAAAAUCCAACUGUUUGUUUACCCUGUAAAAUUCAAGAAAAAUAGUACGCGUUUCUUUACUUAUUUGCAAGCCCACCAUUGGGCCAUUUCAAACUGGCACAUCAAUUUUGGUUUUCCUAUCCGCCACCUGGCGCUGGCGGCGGCUCCUCAACUCAGCUACAAAUUCUAGCAAGAUCGUAUAUGUAAAACUUGCCACACACACACACACGCACACACAUAAACAUUCAUAUACACACACACACACACAGACACACUGAAACACAUGUUAGCAUAGCUGCAAGUGUAUUUGUAUAUUCAGUGUUUCCUCGACUCGAAAGCAAAACAAAACAGAACGCUAAACAAACAACAACAGCAAUAAA
Molecule: unclassified non-coding RNA, 505 nt
Filed under: Drosophila mojavensis
Lineage: Eukaryota; Metazoa; Arthropoda; Insecta; Diptera; Drosophilidae
Description: GI26864
Source: RNAcentral